Molecule: long non-coding RNA, 1155 nt
Filed under: Homo sapiens (human)
Lineage: Eukaryota; Metazoa; Chordata; Mammalia; Primates; Hominidae
Description: HSALNT0095942
Source: RNAcentral
GAAAUCAUAUAAUUCAUACCUUGCAUGGCUUGACCCUCCAGCACAUAAUAAAAAGGGAUUUACAGCUAGCUUAGGGAGAACAAUCAUACCCUAGGCAUUGUCUUGGGUCCCUAAUCCCAUCUUUGGAAAUGGCACUUCUCCGACCUCAGUCACCUGAGAUACCAACUGUUCUUCCCCAUUGAAAUGUGUGACUAGUUAUCAAAAUUUUAGACACCAUGUAAUUCUGGACCUUGCAUUUCCACUUUCAAGGUUUUUCUGAAGACAUAAAGACAAAAAUGUAUGCAAAAUAUGCAUGCUCACUAUAGCACUUUUUAUAAUAACAAAAAAUAUAAUUAGAUAUUAGAAACAAUAUAAUAUACAUUAUAUAAAUUAAAUUAAUAUUCACAUAGAUAACAAUUUAAAUAAGGCAUAUGUCAUUCAUAUGUGCAAUGUAUCAUUCAUGUAUGUUUGUAAAUAUUUAGAAAAUGUCUUGAAAAAAGCACAUCAAUGUGAACAGUGGUUUCCUCUAAUUUGUGGAAUUUAUGGAUGAAGAGAAUGAAAGUUACAUAUAUGCAUAUAUGUAACUACAGUUAUACAUAAUUAUAGUUGUAUAUAAUUAUAUAUAACAUGUUAAUUAUAUUCCAUAUGAUUAUAUGAUAAUUAUAUGUAUAUAUUUCUAUAUUCUGAUGAUCUUUAAAAUAAUUUUUAAACUUUUUAAGAUAACUAUAGAUUCACAUGAAGUUUUAAGAAAUCAUACAGAGCAAUCCAGCAUAUUUUCUACCAAGUUUCCUCCAAUGGUAGUAUCUUGCAAAACUAUGCUGCUACAUCAAAACCAGUAUGCUGACAUUGAUACAGGUAAAACACAGAAUAUUUCUGUCCUCAUAAGGAUCUCUCAUACAGCUCUUAUAUAACACACUCACUUCCUUCCUGCCCCCAUCGUCUCCUUAACCCCUGGAAAUUACAAAUUUGUUCUUUAUUUCUAUAAUUUUGUCAUUUUGAGAAUGUUACAUAAAUAAAAGUAUACAAAAUUUAACCUUUGGGGUUUGACAUUUUUUCACUCAGCAUAAUUCUCUAAGGAUGCAUCCAGGUUACUGUGUAUAUAAAUAGUUUGUUCUCCUUUUUUGUUGAAUAGUAUUUCUUUACAAAGAUGUCCAAAAUUUAUCCAUUCAUCCACUG